Molecule: ribosomal RNA, 821 nt
Filed under: Pseudomonas plecoglossicida
Lineage: Bacteria; Pseudomonadati; Pseudomonadota; Gammaproteobacteria; Pseudomonadales; Pseudomonadaceae
Description: bacterial SSU rRNA
Rfam family: Bacterial small subunit ribosomal RNA
Source: RNAcentral
CGGAUGACAGGAGCUUGCUCCUUGUUUCACCGGCGGACGGGUGAGUAAUACCUAGGAAUCUGCCUGGUAGUGGGGGACAACGUUUCGAAAGGAACGCUAAUACCGCAUACGUCCUACGGGAGAAAGCAGGGGACCUUCGGGCCUUGCGCUAUCAGAUGAGCCUAGGUCGGAUUAGCUAGUUGGUGAGGUAAUGGCUCACCAAGGCUACGAUCCGUAACUGGUCUGAGAGGAUGAUCAGUCACACUGGAACUGAGACACGGUCCAGACUCCUACGGGAGGCAGCAGUGGGGAAUAUUGGACAAUGGGCGAAAGCCUGAUCCAGCCAUGCCGCGUGUGUGAAGAAGGUCUUCGGAUUGUAAAGCACUUUAAGUUGGGAGGAAGGGCAUUAACCUAAUACGUUAGUGUUUUGACGUUACCGACAGAAUAAGCACCGGCUAACUCUGUGCCAGCAGCCGCGGUAAUACAGAGGGUGCAAGCGUUAAUCGGAAUUACUGGGCGUAAAGCGCGCGUAGGUGGUUCGUUAAGUUGGAUGUGAAAUCCCCGGGCUCAACCUGGGAACUGCAUCCAAAACUGGCGAGCUAGAGUAGGGCAGAGGGUGGUGGAAUUUCCUGUGUAGCGGUGAAAUGCGUAGAUAUAGGAAAGGAACACCAGUGGCGAAAGGCGACCACCUGGGCUCAUACUGACACUGAGGUGCGAAAGCGUGGGGAGCAAAACAGGAUUAGAUACCCUGGUAGUCCACGGCCGUAAACGAUGUCAACUAGCCGUUUGCAAUCCUUGAGAUUUUAGUCGCGCAGCUACUGCAUCUAAACUUGAUCGCCUGG